ACCAGAAAGGGACGGCUAACUACGUGCCAGCAGCCGCGGUAAUACGUAGGUCCCGAGCGUUGUCCGGAUUUAUUGGGCGUAAAGCGAGCGCAGGCGGUUUGAUAAGUCUGAAGCUAAAGGCUGUGGCUCAACCAUAGUUCGCUUUGGAAACUGUCAAACUUGAGUGCAGAAGGGGAGAGUGGGAUUCCAUGUGUAGCGGUGAAAUGCGUAGAUAUAUGGAGGAACACCGGUGGCGAAAGCGGCUCUCUGGUCUGUAACUGGCGCUGAGGCUCGAAAGCGUGGGGAGCGAACAGGAUUAGAUACCCUGGUAGUCCACGCCGUAAACGAUGAGUGCUAGGUGUUGGAUCCUUUCCGGGAUUCAGUGCCGCAGCUAACGCAUUAAGCACUCCGCCUGGGGAGUACGACCGCAAAGGUUGAAACUCAAAGGAAUUGACGGGGGCCCGCACAAGCGGCGGAGCAUGCGGAUUAAUUCGUCGACGCGGCCG
RNAcentral lists this ribosomal RNA (485 nucleotides) under uncultured bacterium. Its description in RNAcentral is "bacterial SSU rRNA". It matches the Rfam family "Bacterial small subunit ribosomal RNA", at positions 482 to 963 of the family's 1533-position model. The record is from RNAcentral.